This 468-nucleotide ribosomal RNA is filed under the name uncultured bacterium. RNAcentral's name for it is "partial 16S ribosomal RNA". It matches the Rfam family "Bacterial small subunit ribosomal RNA", at positions 28 to 507 of the family's 1533-position model. The record is from RNAcentral.
GACGAACGCUGGCGGCGUGCUUAACACAUGCAAGUCGAACGGAAAGGCGCUGCUUUUGUGGGGUGCUCGAGUGGCGAACGGGUGAGUAACACGUGAGUAACCUGCCCUUGACUGUGGGAUAACUUCAGGAAACUGGGGCUAAUACCGGAUAGGAGCUCCUGCUGCAUGGUGGGGGUUGGAAAGUUUCGGCGGUUGGGGAUGGACUCGCGGCUUAUCAGCUUGUUGGUGGGGUAGUGGCUUACCAAGGCUUUGACGGGUAGCCGGCCUGAGAGGGUGACCGGCCACAUUGGGACUGAGAUACGGCCCAGACUCCUACGGGAGGCAGCAGUGGGGAAUAUUGCACAAUGGGCGGAAGCCUGAUGCAGCAACGCCGCGUGCGGGAUGACGGCCUUCGGGUUGUAAACCGCUUUCGCCUGUGACGAAGCGUGAGUGACGGUAAUGGGUAAAGAAGCACCGGCUAACUACGUG